Molecule: ribosomal RNA, 443 nt
Filed under: uncultured bacterium
Lineage: Bacteria
Description: partial 16S ribosomal RNA
Rfam family: Bacterial small subunit ribosomal RNA
Source: RNAcentral
GAUGAACGCUGGCGGCAUGCCUAACACAUGCAAGUCGAUCGGUAAGGCUCUUCGGAGUACACGAGAGGCGGACGGCUGAGUAACGCGUAGGAACACACCCUGCAGUGAGGGAUAAGACACCGAAAGGUGUUCUAAUACCGCAUACGGUCUUCGGAUUAAAGCAUUUAUGCGCUGAAGGAGUGGCCUGCGUCAUAUUAGAUAGUUGGUGAGGUAAUGGCUCACCAAGUCGAUGAUGUGUAGCUGGUCUGAGAGGAUGAUCAGCCAGACUGGAACUGAGACACGGUCCAGACUCCUACGGGAGGCAGCAGUGAGGAAUAUUGCACAAUGAGCGAAAGCUUGAUGGAGCAAUGCCGCGUGCGGGAUGAAGGCCCUCGGGUUGUAAACUGCUUUUAUAAGAGAAGAUUAUGACGGUAACUUAUGAAUAAGGGACGGCUAACUACGUG